Molecule: ribosomal RNA, 1222 nt
Filed under: metagenome
Description: bacterial SSU rRNA
Rfam family: Bacterial small subunit ribosomal RNA
Source: RNAcentral
CCCACCUAGCCGACGAUGGAUAGGGGUUCUGAGAGGAAGGUCCCCCACAUUGGAACUGAGACACGGUCCAAACUCCUACGGGAGGCAGCAGUGAGGAAUAUUGGUCAAUGGGCGCGAGCCUGAACCAGCCAAGUAGCGUGAAGGAUGAAGGUCCUAUGGAUUGUAAACUUCUUUUAUACGGGAAUAAAGUGGUCCACGUGUGGACUUUUGCAUGUACCGUAUGAAUAAGCAUCGGCUAACUCCGUGCCAGCAGCCGCGGUAAUACGGAGGAUGCGAGCGUUAUCCGGAUUUAUUGGGUUUAAAGGGAGCGCAGACGGGGGAUUAAGUCAGUUGUGAAAGUUUGCGGCUCAACCGUAAAAUUGCAGUUGAUACUGGUUCCCUUGAGUGCAGUUGAGGCAGGCGGAAUUCGUGGUGUAGCGGUGAAAUGCAUAGAUAUCACGAAGAACCCCGAUUGCGAAGGCAGCCUGCUAAGCUGUAACUGACGUUGAGGCUCGAAAGUGUGGGUAUCAAACAGGAUUAGAUACCCUGGUAGUCCACACGGUAAACGAUGGAUACUCGCUGUUGGCGAUAUACUGUCAGCGGCCAAGCGAAAGCAUUAAGUAUCCCACCUGGGGAGUACGCCGGCAACGGUGAAACUCAAAGGAAUUGACGGGGGCCCGCACAAGCGGAGGAACAUGUGGUUUAAUUCGAUGAUACGCGAGGAACCUUACCCGGGCUUAAAUUGCAGACGAAUUACUUGGAAACAGGUAAGCCGCAAGGCGUCUGUGAAGGUGCUGCAUGGUUGUCGUCAGCUCGUGCCGUGAGGUGUUGGCUUAAGUGCCAUAACGAGCGCAACCCUCGUGGCCAGCUACUAGCAGGUAAUGCUGAGGACUCUGGCCAGACUGCCAUCGUAAGAUGCGAGGAAGGUGGGGAUGACGUCAAAUCAGCACGGCCCUUACGUCCGGGGCUACACACGUGUUACAAUGGGAGGUACAGAAGGCAGCUACCCGGCGACGGGAUGCCAAUCUCCAAAGCCUCUCUCAGUUCGGACUGGAGUCUGCAACCCGACUCCACGAAGCUGGAUUCGCUAGUAAUCGCGCAUCAGCCACGGCGCGGUGAAUACGUUCCCGGGCCUUGUACACACCGCCCGUCAAGCCAUGAAAGCCGGGAGUACCUGAAGUGCGUAACCGCAAGGAGCGCCCUAGGGUAAAACCGGUAGUUGGGGCUAAGUCGUAACAAGGUA